AUCUAAAUAGUUUAAUGUAAAAAUAUUGAUUUGUGGUAUCAAAGUUAUAAAUUUAUUUUAGAUU
Molecule: transfer RNA, 64 nt
Filed under: Cucujoidea sp. 19 KM-2017
Lineage: Eukaryota; Metazoa; Arthropoda; Insecta; Coleoptera
Description: tRNA-His
Source: RNAcentral